UAAGCGGAGGAAAAGAAACUAACAAGGAUUCCCUUAGUAACGGCGAGUGAACCGGGAAGAGCUCAAAUUUGAAAUCUGGCUGUCUUCGAUAGUCCGAGUUGUAAUCUAUAGAAGCGUUUUCCGUGCUGAACUGUGUAUAAGUCCCUUGGAACAGGGUAUCAAAGAGGGUGACAAUCCCGUACUUUACACAAUCAUCAGUGCUCUGUGAUACGUUCUCUACGAGUCGAGUUGUUUGGGAAUGCAGCUCAAAAUGGGUGGUAAAUUCCAUCUAAAGCUAAAUAUUGGCGAGAGACCGAUAGCGAACAAGUACCGUGAGGGAAAGAUGAAAAGCACUUUGGAAAGAGAGUUAAACAGUACGUGAAAUUGUUAAAAGGGAAACGAUUGAAGUCAGUCGUGUUUAUUGGAUUCAGCCGGUCUUCGGUGUACUUCCUUUAAACGGGUCAACAUCAGUUUUGUCCGGUGGAUAAAGGCAGUAGGAAUGUGGCUCCCUCGGGAGUGUUAUAGCCUAUUGUCACAUACACUGGAGGAGACUGAGGACUGCAGCUCGCCUUUUGGCCGGGGUUCGCCCACGUUCGAGCUUAGGAUGUUGACAUAAUGGCUUUAAACGACCCGUCUUGAAACACG
RNAcentral lists this ribosomal RNA (624 nucleotides) under Apiotrichum laibachii. RNAcentral describes it as "eukaryotic LSU rRNA". It matches the Rfam family "Eukaryotic large subunit ribosomal RNA", at positions 47 to 663 of the family's 3401-position model. The record is from RNAcentral. Lineage: Eukaryota; Fungi; Basidiomycota; Tremellomycetes; Trichosporonales; Trichosporonaceae.